Molecule: ribosomal RNA, 510 nt
Filed under: uncultured bacterium
Lineage: Bacteria
Description: partial 16S ribosomal RNA
Rfam family: Bacterial small subunit ribosomal RNA
Source: RNAcentral
GACGAACGCUGGCGGCGUGCUUAACACAUGCAAGUCGAACGAAGAGCGAUGGAAGCUUGCUUCUAUCAAUCUUAGUGGCGAACGGGUGAGUAAUGCGUAAUCAACCUGCCCUUCAGAGGGGGACAACAGUUGGAAACGACUGCUAAUACCGCAUACGAUCCAAUCUCGGCAUCGGGACUGGAUGAAAGGUGGCCUCUAUUUAUAAGCUAUCACUGAAGGAGGGGAUUGCGUCUGAUUAGCUAGUUGGAGGGGUAACGGCCCACCAAGGCGAUGAUCAGUAGCCGGUCUGAGAGGAUGAACGGCCACAUUGGGACUGAGACACGGCCCAGACUCCUACGGGAGGCAGCAGUGGGGAAUCUUCCGCAAUGGACGAAAGUCUGACGGAGCAACGCCGCGUGAGUGAUGACGGCCUUCGGGUUGUAAAGCUCUGUUAAUCGGGACGAAUGGUUCUUGUGCGAAUAGUGCGAGGAUUUGACGGUACCGGAAUAGAAAGCCACGGCUAACUACGUG